GCGCCCUGGGGCCAGGACUGCUGCUGUCACUGCCAUCCAUUGGAGCCCAGCACCCCCUCCCCGCCCAUCCUUCGGACAGCAACUCCAGCCCAGCCCCGCGUCCCUGUGUCCACUUCUCCUGACCCCUCGGCCGCCACCCCAGAAGGCUGGAGCAGGGACGCCGUCGCUCCGGCCGCCUGCUCCCCUCGGGUCCCCGUGCGAGCCCACGCCGGCCCCGGUGCCCGCCCGCAGCCCUGCCACUGGACACAGGAUAAGGCCCAGCGCACAGGCCCCCACGUGGACAGCAUGGACCGCGGCACGCUCCCUCUGGCUGUUGCCCUGCUGCUGGCCAGCUGCAGCCUCAGCCCCACAAGUCUUGCAGAAACAGUCCAUUGUGACCUUCAGCCUGUGGGCCCCGAGAGGGGCGAGGUGACAUAUACCACUAGCCAGGUCUCGAAGGGCUGCGUGGCUCAGGCCCCCAAUGCCAUCCUUGAAGUCCAUGUCCUCUUCCUGGAGUUCCCAACGGGCCCGUCACAGCUGGAGCUGACUCUCCAGGCAUCCAAGCAAAAUGGCACCUGGCCCCGAGAGGUGCUUCUGGUCCUCAGUGUAAACAGCAGUGUCUUCCUGCAUCUCCAGGCCCUGGGAAUCCCACUGCACUUGGCCUACAAUUCCAGCCUGGUCACCUUCCAAGAGCCCCCGGGGGUCAAC
This 687-nucleotide long non-coding RNA is filed under the name Homo sapiens (human). RNAcentral's name for it is "long non-coding RNA NONHSAT221350.1". The record is from RNAcentral. Lineage: Eukaryota; Metazoa; Chordata; Mammalia; Primates; Hominidae.